GCUGCGCUGCACCGGCCCGCCGGCUCCGCCCACUCCUUCUCCUCAGCGUCUGGCCCGUCGCCUCCGCAUUCCCCGUCACCGCGCGCCCGCCGGCUCACCCCCCGCUUCGCUGGCUGGCUCCGGCACGCUCCUCAUCCGGCCCUGCUCCCGUGCGUACUGCAUCGACACCGCCCGCAAUUCCGGCGAUUGGCUUGGUUUCUGAGGUACGAGCAUCCCCAACUCCAGAGAUUCUAGGCGCGCCGGCGCGCGCCACCUAGAUCUGCAACCGUGUGGAUUUUCGGCUAGUGUUGGGACCGGAAUCCGUUCAUAGGCAGAAGAUAACAUAUGUCUCAACCGUGUGUUUGACGAAGCUGCCUCCUCCUGCAUUUGACCACAAAUUCCAAUGGUCAUCCCUGUCAAUAUGUCAACCUAAACAUGGAAGAAGUCAUCAUUCAAAGUGUAUCAUGACUGCUCUGGAUGAUAGGCAGUCGGUACCAUCUUCAUCGAUGUCUUCAUUGCGUGGGGUUCAUCCCCUUGUGGAUUCUUCAAAGAAGAAAGUACUGUCAUUUUCCAAGAGGAUCGACAGAUCAAUUGCAUCCUGAAUUUUCCUAGUUCACCAUGAAGCAAAUUAGUUUUCUUCUGCCUGCAUAAAAACCAAACUGUCCAAACAUAAAUUCAAAUGCUUAAAAUGUCGUUCUAUUCUGAAGCCAGGACUCUAGGAUCGAUGCUGAGCAGAGUGGCAACUAACCGGCUCUCCCGUCCCUCGCCACCUGAUGCCGAGGAGUGUUUAUGCAUGCUUGCAACCUACACCAAGAGACUCAUCCACGUCCUCCGUGCGUCCCGCAGCAGCAGGCAGCAACGCAUCGACGACGACAUGAUAUUUCACAGCUCUAGCAUCCUCGCGUGUGCAUAUUCUGAGACAUCAAUGGGUAUGACUUCUUGCACCUCAAAAUAAUCUCUAACUACCGCAACACAAGAAAUAAUUAGCUGCAGUUUUGCUCUAAGCAUGUACUUCAGAAUCACAAAAACAUUCUCUAGUUUAUUUGAUCACGUGUACUCUGGUUCAACAUGUCUCUUUUAUUGCCAAGUGCUAACCAGGUGUCUGUCUACAGAUUAAGUGGAACUAAUGGGAACCUACAAGUUGGCAACCGCUUGUUUCACCAACGCUAGCGACACCUUCUCACAGGGAGUGUCCAGGUCACCGACGCGGUUGAGACAUAUGUUAUCUUCUGCCUAUGUCAACCUAGCCAUAUCAGGACUGUGUGGACGCGGUUGAGAAAAACUGGCGCUACUUAUAUAAUGAAUAAAUAACUGUACCGGUGAUGCAGCUAGGGCAGUGUUUCGCUGUCAAGUUUCCAGCUUGUUGAUGAUCCUGGAAUUUUUGGUUGGGUUCCUUUGGGUAAUAACAAUAAGGAGCCAAAUAGUAGUGCUGCUUUGUGCUUUCCUUGUCAUGUUAGUUCUCCCUUGGGGAGAGAAUUACGAUCUUGUACAUUUGCUUCUGCGGCUCAUAUAGUUUCCCUUCAUACUCACUUAUGCUAUUUACAGAUAAUAACAGGUCCAAGAGAAGUAGAAGCCUCAUAUUAUUUUCUUAUCUUCAACAUGCAGGACAAUAGAGCUAUUGCUGAAAUCCAGUUUGCAGAUUAUAUCUUUCCAUCAUUUGAUCAGAUUGUCAACGAAGCCGCUAAAUUCAGAUACCGAAGUGGAAAUGAAUUUAACUAUGGAGUGAAACAUCCAGAAGUUGUCAUCCCUUAUUUUCUAGGUUUAACAAUUCGAUCUCCAUAUGGAGCUAUUGGACAUGGUGGUCACUACCAUUCACAGUCACCAGAGGCUUUCUUCUGCCAUGUUCCUGGCCUGAAGGUUGUCAUACCUCGGAGUCCACGUGAGGCCAAGGGACUUUUGCUGGCCAGCAUUCGUGACCCAAACCCAGUCAUCUUUUUCGAGCCAAAGUGACUGUACCGUUUGUCUGUUGAAGAAGUUCCUGAGGGGGACUAUAUGAUGCCUUUAUCCCAGGCGGAAGUGAUCCGCAAAGGAAGUGAUAUAACACUUGUUGGUUGGGGAGCUCAACUUGAAGUGCUGGAACAAGCAUGUGAAGAUGCUUCAAAGGUCAGUUAUUCAUGCUAGUUCUUGUAUGUCUCUGUGAAUUGGUACUAACGUUUUGUUUGGCUAGUGCAUAGAGAUGCCGUCGUAUGUCGUGUACAAG
Long non-coding RNA from Hordeum vulgare subsp. vulgare (domesticated barley), 2179 nucleotides. RefSeq lists it as uncharacterized. Lineage: Eukaryota; Viridiplantae; Streptophyta; Magnoliopsida; Poales; Poaceae. The record is from RefSeq and is a predicted model, not a curated record. The transcript is spliced from 9 exons.